UUAAGCGACUAAGCGUACACGGUGGAUGCCCUGGCAGUCAGAGGCGAUGAAGGACGUGCUAAUCUGCGAUAAGCGUCGGUAAGGUGAUAUGAACCGUUAUAACCGGCGAUUUCCGAAUGGGGAAACCCAGUGUGUUUCGACACACUAUCAUUAACUGAAUCCAUAGGUUAAUGAGGCGAACCGGGGGAACUGAAACAUCUAAGUACCCCGAGGAAAAGAAAUCAACCGAGAUUCCCCCAGUAGCGGCGAGCGAACGGGGAGCAGCCCAGAGCCUGAAUCAGUGUGUGUGUUAGUGGAAGCGUCUGGAAAGGCGCGCGAUACAGGGUGACAGCCCCGUACACAAAAAUGCACAUAUUGUGAGCUCGAUGAGUAGGGCGGGACACGUGGUAUCCUGUCUGAAUAUGGGGGGACCAUCCUCCAAGGCUAAAUACUCCUGACUGACCGAUAGUGAACCAGUACCGUGAGGGAAAGGCGAAAAGAACCCCGGCGAGGGGAGUGAAAAAGAACCUGAAACCGUGUACGUACAAGCAGUGGGAGCCUCUUUUAUGGGGUGACUGCGUACCUUUUGUAUAAUGGGUCAGCGACUUAUAUUCUGUAGCAAGGUUAACCGAAUAGGGGAGCCGAAGGGAAACCGAGUCUUAACUGGGCGUUAAGUUGCAGGGUAUAGACCCGAAACCCGGUGAUCUAGCCAUGGGCAGGUUGAAGGUUGGGUAACACUAACUGGAGGACCGAACCGACUAAUGUUGAAAAAUUAGCGGAUGACUUGUGGCUGGGGGUGAAAGGCCAAUCAAACCGGGAGAUAGCUGGUUCUCCCCGAAAGCUAUUUAGGUAGCGCCUCGUGAAUUCAUCUCCGGGGGUAGAGCACUGUUUCGGCAAGGGGGUCAUCCCGACUUACCAACCCGAUGCAAACUGCGAAUACCGGAGAAUGUUAUCACGGGAGACACACGGCGGGUGCUAACGUCCGUCGUGAAGAGGGAAACAACCCAGACCGCCAGCUAAGGUCCCAAAGUCAUGGUUAAGUGGGAAACGAUGUGGGAAGGCCCAGACAGCCAGGAUGUUGGCUUAGAAGCAGCCAUCAUUUAAAGAAAGCGUAAUAGCUCACUGGUCGAGUCGGCCUGCGCGGAAGAUGUAACGGGGCUAAACCAUGCACCGAAGCUGCGGCAGCGACACUAUGUGUUGUUGGGUAGGGGAGCGUUCUGUAAGCCUGUGAAGGUGUGCUGUGAGGCAUGCUGGAGGUAUCAGAAGUGCGAAUGCUGACAUAAGUAACGAUAAAGCGGGUGAAAAGCCCGCUCGCCGGAAGACCAAGGGUUCCUGUCCAACGUUAAUCGGGGCAGGGUGAGUCGACCCCUAAGGCGAGGCCGAAAGGCGUAGUCGAUGGGAAACAGGUUAAUAUUCCUGUACUUGGUGUUACUGCGAAGGGGGGACGGAGAAGGCUAUGUUGGCCGGGCGACGGUUGUCCCGGUUUAAGCGUGUAGGCUGGUUUUCCAGGCAAAUCCGGAAAAUCAAGGCUGAGGCGUGAUGACGAGGCACUACGGUGCUGAAGCAACAAAUGCCCUGCUUCCAGGAAAAGCCUCUAAGCAUCAGGUAACAUCAAAUCGUACCCCAAACCGACACAGGUGGUCAGGUAGAGAAUACCAAGGCGCUUGAGAGAACUCGGGUGAAGGAACUAGGCAAAAUGGUGCCGUAACUUCGGGAGAAGGCACGCUGAUAUGUAGGUGAAGCGACUUGCUCGUGGAGCUGAAAUCAGUCGAAGAUACCAGCUGGCUGCAACUGUUUAUUAAAAACACAGCACUGUGCAAACACGAAAGUGGACGUAUACGGUGUGACGCCUGCCCGGUGCCGGAAGGUUAAUUGAUGGGGUUAGCGCAAGCGAAGCUCUUGAUCGAAGCCCCGGUAAACGGCGGCCGUAACUAUAACGGUCCUAAGGUAGCGAAAUUCCUUGUCGGGUAAGUUCCGACCUGCACGAAUGGCGUAAUGAUGGCCAGGCUGUCUCCACCCGAGACUCAGUGAAAUUGAACUCGCUGUGAAGAUGCAGUGUACCCGCGGCAAGACGGAAAGACCCCGUGAACCUUUACUAUAGCUUGACACUGAACAUUGAGCCUUGAUGUGUAGGAUAGGUGGGAGGCUUUGAAGUGUGGACGCCAGUCUGCAUGGAGCCGACCUUGAAAUACCACCCUUUAAUGUUUGAUGUUCUAACGUUGACCCGUGAUCCGGGUUGCGGACAGUGUCUGGUGGGUAGUUUGACUGGGGCGGUCUCCUCCUAAAGAGUAACGGAGGAGCACGAAGGUUGGCUAAUCCUGGUCGGACAUCAGGAGGUUAGUGCAAUGGCAUAAGCCAGCUUGACUGCGAGCGUGACGGCGCGAGCAGGUGCGAAAGCAGGUCAUAGUGAUCCGGUGGUUCUGAAUGGAAGGGCCAUCGCUCAACGGAUAAAAGGUACUCCGGGGAUAACAGGCUGAUACCGCCCAAGAGUUCAUAUCGACGGCGGUGUUUGGCACCUCGAUGUCGGCUCAUCACAUCCUGGGGCUGAAGUAGGUCCCAAGGGUAUGGCUGUUCGCCAUUUAAAGUGGUACGCGAGCUGGGUUUAGAACGUCGUGAGACAGUUCGGUCCCUAUCUGCCGUGGGCGCUGGAGAACUGAGGGGGGCUGCUCCUAGUACGAGAGGACCGGAGUGGACGCAUCACUGGUGUUCGGGUUGUCAUGCCAAUGGCACUGCCCGGUAGCUAAAUGCGGAAGAGAUAAGUGCUGAAAGCAUCUAAGCACGAAACUUGCCCCGAGAUGAGUUCUCCCUGACCCUUUAAGGGUCCUGAAGGAACGUUGAAGACGACGACGUUGAUAGGCCGGGUGUGUAAGCGCAGCGAUGCGUUGAGCUAACCGGUACUAAUGAACCGUGAGGCUUAACCUU
This 2901-nucleotide ribosomal RNA is filed under the name Escherichia coli. RNAcentral describes it as "bacterial LSU rRNA". It matches the Rfam family "Bacterial large subunit ribosomal RNA". The record is from RNAcentral. Lineage: Bacteria; Pseudomonadati; Pseudomonadota; Gammaproteobacteria; Enterobacterales; Enterobacteriaceae.